RNAcentral lists this ribosomal RNA (497 nucleotides) under uncultured bacterium. RNAcentral describes it as "partial 16S ribosomal RNA". It matches the Rfam family "Bacterial small subunit ribosomal RNA", at positions 28 to 507 of the family's 1533-position model. The record is from RNAcentral.
GAUGAACGCUGGCGGCGUGCCUAAUACAUGCAAGUCGAGCGAACGGACGAGAAGCUUGCUUCUCUGAUGUUAGCGGCUGACGGGUGAGUAACACGUGGAUAACCUACCUAUAAGACUGGGAUAACUUCGGGAAACCGGAGCUAAUACCGGAUAAUAUUUUGAACCGCAUGGUUCAAAAGUUAAAGACGGUCUUGCUGUCACUUAUAGAUGGAUCCGCGCUGCAUUAGCUAGUUGGUAAGGUAACGGCUUACCAAGGCAACGAUGCAUAGCCGACCUGAGAGGGUGAUCGGCCACACUGGAACUGAGACACGGUCCAGACUCCUACGGGAGGCAGCAGUAGGGAAUCUUGCGCAAUGGGCGAAAGCCUGACGGAGCAACGCCGCGUGAGUGAUGAAGGUCUUCGGAUCGUAAAACUCUGUUAUUAGGGAAGAAAAUAUGUGUAAGUAACUGUGCACAUCUUGACGGUACCUAAUCAGAAAGCCACGGCUAACUACGUG